Molecule: ribosomal RNA, 446 nt
Filed under: uncultured bacterium
Lineage: Bacteria
Description: partial 16S ribosomal RNA
Rfam family: Bacterial small subunit ribosomal RNA
Source: RNAcentral
CCUACGGGUGGCAGCAGUCGAGAAUCUUUCACAAUGGGGGCAACCCUGAUGCUGCGACGCCGCGUGGGGGAAUGAAGGUCUUCGGAUUGUAAACCCCUGUCAUGUGGGAGCAAGUAAAAAAGAUAGUACCAAAUAAGGAAGUGACGGCUAACUCAGUGCCAGCAGCCUCGGUAAUACAGAGGUCUCAAGCAUUGUACGGAAUAACUGGGAGUAACGGGUGCGUGGGCAGGUUCGUAAGUCGCGUGUGAAAGGCGCGGGCUCAACCCGCGGACUGCACAUGAUACUGGGUGACUAGAGUGCUGGAGGGGGAAGCGGAAUGCUCGGUGUAGCGGUGAAAUGCGUAGAUAUCGAGAGGAACACUCGUGGCGAAGGCGGGUUCCUGGACAUUAACUGACGCUGAGGCACGAAGGCGAGGGGAGCGAAAGGGAUUAGAUACCCGAGUAGUC